CUCGUCUGGAGUGUCGCUUCCACCACCAGGCACACGAGCUGGAGCAUGAUGGGGCUGAGCCGGCGGGCCAGGCCCUUGGACAGGUCGUACACGUAGAGCUUCACCGGAUAGAGAUUCGGCGGCUCCAUCAGGACCCGUGGCGGCGGCCACGAUGGCCCUCGGGCACCCGGCAGCGGCUUGGACCUUCCGGUACCCGACCGGGGUGGGGAGAGGAGGGAGCGGGGGACCGAGCCCGGGCCCGGCCUGAGGGCGGGGGAAAGGCGGCCCUGCGCUGCUCGCGCCCCCACACCCGCGACCGGCAACGACUACUGUGAGGUGACAGAGAGAGAGAUCCCAGAGAAUCCGCACGGAACAGGGGAAAGGGGCGGGGACGCACUUUCACGCAUGU
RNAcentral lists this long non-coding RNA (388 nucleotides) under Rattus norvegicus (Norway rat). Its description in RNAcentral is "long non-coding RNA NONRATT026157". Lineage: Eukaryota; Metazoa; Chordata; Mammalia; Rodentia; Muridae. The record is from RNAcentral.